AAUUAAUUAAUUUACACAAUACACAAAUAGAGAGAGUAAAGAAAAUAUGUAACAUCUUUCCUCAGAUACGCCCACAAUUUCCAAGUCGUCACUAGUUAGUCAGUGUUGAAAAAAACCACUUUUUUAAAACAAACGUAACUCAUUGAAAGUAUGAGUUCCUUUUUUUGUGCGUCAGUCUACUUAUGUAAUCUUUAUAUGCUCAUACAAAAACACCCAUUUGUUGGAAAUACAAUCACUUCUUCUGCCUCACAAAUAUUUACACACCCAACUUAAACAAACUUAGCAUAACAAGUGCAAGUUACUUUUGUAUGAUAUUAGUGUAUCAACACCCUCAUCAAAGAAUAAUAAUUGAGUCAACUCGCUGCUAACUCGCUCAGUCAAUCAGAUCAAGACCCCGAAAGAAGAUGAUGAUCAACAUGCUUACAUGCAUGCACAAGAAAGUGAAUUUGAUCAUGAUGAUCAUGUGAGUGAGUUUAAUUUAAUUAGCUGUUGAUAAUUGACAUUAAUUAUAAGGUGUAAGUUUAAUUUUAUGUAUAGAUUUUGUGUUUAGAAUUGAUUAUUGGUAACUAGAAACUGUUCAUGUGAGAACUUUAGUUGGAUUAUGUGUACUAGAUUGGCUCCCUAUCUUAAUCAUUACAUACAUUGAUGAAGUAAAUUAAUGAAAUGCUUUUACAAUCUUUUUAUUUUA
Long non-coding RNA from Beta vulgaris subsp. vulgaris (sugar beet), 688 nucleotides. RefSeq lists it as uncharacterized. Lineage: Eukaryota; Viridiplantae; Streptophyta; Magnoliopsida; Caryophyllales; Amaranthaceae. The record is from RefSeq and is a predicted model, not a curated record. The transcript is spliced from 2 exons.